This 907-nucleotide ribosomal RNA is filed under the name Ostorhinchus dispar. RNAcentral describes it as "partial 16S ribosomal RNA". The stretch from base 192 to 907 matches the Rfam family "Bacterial large subunit ribosomal RNA", at positions 568 to 1719 of the family's 2925-position model. The record is from RNAcentral. Lineage: Eukaryota; Metazoa; Chordata; Actinopteri; Kurtiformes; Apogonidae.
AGCCCACUAGCUAGCUCACACCCCAAAACUCAACAACCAAUAUUAAUAACCCCAAAUAACCUUAAAUACUAAGAAUCAAACCAUUUUACCCCCCAAGUAUGGGCGACAGAAAAGGACAAACCUGAAGCAACAGCAACAGUACCGCAAGGGAACGCUGAAAGAGAAGUGAAACAAAUCAGUAAAGCACAAAAAAGCAGAGCUUAACCCUUGUACCUUUUGCAUCAUGAUUUAGCAAGAAACCAUCAAGCAAAAAGAGUCUUUAGUUUGAUUCCCCGAAACCAAGUGAGCUACUCCAAGACAGCCUCUAAGGGCGCACCCGUCUCUGUGGCAAAAGAGUGGGAAGAUCUUUGAGUAGAGGUGACAGACCUACCGAACUUGGUUAUAGCUGGUUAUCCACGAAAUGAAUAGGAGUUCAGCCUUUUUUCAUCUUUCCCCACAACCCGGCUACGCCUAAAGAGCCUAAGAUAGAUUAAAGAGUUAGUCGAAGGGGGUACAGCCCCUUUGAAAAAGAUACAACUUUCCCAGAAGGGUUAAGAUCAUAAUAUUCACUAAGGGAAAAUGUCCUAGUUGGCCUAAGAGCAGCCACCCACACAGAAAGCGUUAAAGCUCAGACACACCCCGCCCCUCCCUAUUAUCACGACCACAAAAUCUUACCCCCCUGAAUAUAGUGGAUCCCUCCAUACUUUUAUGGAAGAGAUUAUGCUAAUAUGAGUAAUAAGAGGCCCAAUGAGCCUCUCCUUGCACAAGUAUACACCGGAACGAACCCACACCGGAAAUUAACGGCCCCAAAAAGAGGGUACUGGAGUACCAUGGCCAAACCACUAGAAAAGCAUCCACCAACCCAACCGUUGACCUUACACCAGAGUGCCUAUUAGGAAAGACUAAAAGAAAAAGAAGGAACUCGGCA